UAUUUUGGCAAAUGUUAUUUCUUUUUAGUCAUGAGCAUCCAUUGAAAGAUUUGUUUAUGAGAAUUUGAUUUGUGUGAUUCUGUUAGAAUUUCCAUAAUUACAAGAACUGAUAAUUACCUUCAAUCUUUCUUCAGGUCAAGUGCAUCUUCUGUGAGCCCUCUUCUCCUUGUGGAUGCUAUCCCUACAUGCAAUCUAGGGGUCAAAGUUCACAUCCUGGUAGCCGAGUAUGAUCCACCUGUACAUCAAACACAAGCACAAGAUUACAGCAAGCUUCUAGCAGCUAGUGGUCUAGAUGUUGAAAUGAUGACGUUACCCGGUAGAGAUCAUUUUGAGGAGAUCAUGGAGUUACCUGAUGAAAACUGCCCAUUUCAAAAGGUCUUCCUUCGAGCGAUGGGUUUGACAUCUUGAUGGCCAUCCUUCAAGACAAUAGUAAAGUGAACUUCUGUGGUAAUAUUUGGCUGAGUUCUGCAUGGUUAAGGACCAAACUUUGAUGCCACAAUAAUGCACAGGCCUCUGUAUAAUUUUGUAUAAUCCACCUGUAUAUACUGGCCAUGUAUUUUGUCUCUCUUCAAAGUAAAGUGAACUUAUGUGGUAAUAUAUUGGUAAAAUAGUUAAAGAGGUUGAGUUCUGGCUACGGACCAAAGUUUGAUGCCACAAGAAUGCACAGGCCCAUAUAAAGUUAAUCAUGUCUUUGUGACUGCCUCUCUAUAAUAUAAUCCACCUGUUUAUAGUGGCCAUGUAUUUUGUCUCUUCAUACAAAGUAAGGUGAACCUCUGAGGUAAUAUAUUGGUAACAUAUUCAUUAUAGGGUGCGUUUGUACAACAUGACACAGCUGUGGCGCGCGCUCCCUCUCCGAACCGGAAAUUUGCCUGGGACCGAAAUAAUGUAUACGCGCUCCAAAACAGCUUUGCGUUUAUCAUCUCUCAGAAACGUAAGUCUGGCUCAUAGUGGGUAUCAAAACGCACUUUUGUUAGCGUUUUUCUAAUAUACACAUAUAUUCCUGGCAGGAAUUAAUUCUUUGAAAUGCUAGAGCGCCGUAAUGGCAGCACAGCUAAAGUCAGGGUAAUAAUCUCCAAGUGUGGAAGCACUUAGUGAUUGUAAUAAGCGCUAUAUAAAACUGAGUAUUAGUAUUAUGCCUAUAUCUAAUUAAAGACGUUUGAAAACGUUUGUGCGUUUAUCAACAUGCACAAUUUGCCUGAAUCAAGUUUGAAAACGCUGAUUAUAGGCUUGACAAGAUUUGAUAAACGCACCCAAAGAUACAGAGAAGGCUGAGGUGCAGAUGUAAGAAUAUUAACAAUAUUGAAAGUUUGAUUUGUUGGAGCGCAUGGGUUUGCAUGCUAGAUUGUUUAUUGAAUGGCUGAAAGUAGUUGCAUUUUCUUUGUAAAGAUUUCAAAGGGAAAACCCAUGCAUUGUUAUGUGUUGUUUAAAGACGAGCAUAAUGUAGUACACCAUGUGAUUCAUAAUCUAUUUGAGAUAUGAGGACUAUCAUCACUUGCUAAGAAGUUAUUCAGUGUUCUUUUUGUGAUUCAGUUUUGUUGUUCAAUAAUCCUGUGGCUGAGACUUUUGCAAAUCUUGAUCGUUUUUGCAUAAUCUAUGAAAGUGUUUUGUUUUAUAUUAGAUCAGUCGCAACUUAUUAACACUUCCUUUAGGGCGCACACCUCUCCAUUGUUUAAAUCAUUAAAAUUACUUAAACUUCCAGA
This 1700-nucleotide long non-coding RNA is filed under the name Strongylocentrotus purpuratus (purple sea urchin). RNAcentral describes it as "uncharacterized LOC115929214". The record is from RNAcentral. Lineage: Eukaryota; Metazoa; Echinodermata; Echinoidea; Camarodonta; Strongylocentrotidae.